Molecule: ribosomal RNA, 447 nt
Filed under: uncultured bacterium
Lineage: Bacteria
Description: bacterial SSU rRNA
Rfam family: Bacterial small subunit ribosomal RNA
Source: RNAcentral
UCGGGAAUUUUGGGCAAUGGGCGAAAGCCUGACCCAGCAACGCCGCGUGAAGGAUGAAGUAUUUCGGUAUGUAAACUUCGUAAGAAUAGGAAGAAUAAAUGACGGUACUAUUUGUAAGGUCCGGCUAACUACGUGCCAGCAGCCGCGGUAAUACGUAGGGACCAAGCGUUGUUCGGAUUUACUGGGCGUAAAGGGCGCGUAGGCGGCAUGACAAGUCACUUGUGAAAUCUCUGGGCUUAACCCAGAACGGCCAAGUGAUACUGUCGCGCUAGAGUGUAGAAGGGGCAAUCGGAAUUCUUGGUGUAGCGGUGAAAUGCGUAGAUAUCAAGAGGAACACCUGAGGUGAAGACGGGUUGCUGGGCUGACACUGACGCUGAGGCGCGAAAGCCAGGGGAGCAAACGGGAUUAGAUACCCCCGUAGUCCCUGAGCGGGCUGGCAAGGCGCAU